Molecule: ribosomal RNA, 253 nt
Filed under: uncultured bacterium
Lineage: Bacteria
Description: partial 16S ribosomal RNA
Rfam family: Bacterial small subunit ribosomal RNA
Source: RNAcentral
UACGUAGGGUGCGAGCGUUAAUCGGAAUUACUGGGCGUAAAGCGUGCGCAGGCGGUGAUGUAAGACAGAUGUGAAAUCCCCGGGCUCAACCUGGGAACUGCAUUUGUGACUACAUCGCUGGAGUGCGGCAGAGGAGACUGGAAUUCCUGGUGUAGCAGUGAAAUGCGUAGAUAUCAGGAGGAACACCGAUGGCGAAGGCAGGUCUCUGGGCUGACACUGACGCUCAUGCACGAAAGCGUGGGGAGCAAACAGG